Molecule: long non-coding RNA, 1086 nt
Filed under: Oryctolagus cuniculus (rabbit)
Lineage: Eukaryota; Metazoa; Chordata; Mammalia; Lagomorpha; Leporidae
Description: lncRNA (ENSOCUG00000037293.1)
Source: RNAcentral
GGCUGUCGCAAGAAGGGAUCCGAUAAACACCGCUGCCAGUUCUGCUACCCAGACACAUCGCCCUAAAACACAGCAACACGCACAGUCGUGGAAAGAACAGAUCUGUUGACAGUCACCUCUAGAUGGCAUGUUUGUGCUCAUAGCGUGUUCUAUAGAAAAACACGCCUGGCAGAGCUGCCGGUGCAUUUGCCGCCCUGAAGACAGCCAUUGCCUUCUGUAAAUCAAUCGGGGAAGAUACUUAGGGGCCGUGAGCAGUCUACCCGGCAGUCAGCUGGUCUCUCUCAGGUCUCACGCACUGCUGGCCAGGUCCACGGGUAUAAGUGAUGGUCUUGAACAAUGUUUACGUGUGCUGUCUCACAACAGGUGCACAUGCAUAACGAAGACAUCCCCAUACAAGGAGGUCAGAGCGAAGGGAAUGUUUUCUCCAAGAUGGAGGCCUCCUGAGACCAUGUCUUUGAGUAAGGAAGAUUCUACAACAAUUCCUGCUUGCAACCCUUCUACCUAUCACUGCACACACACACACACACACACACACACACACGGGACUUCAUGAAAUUAGUGGGAAAUGGAAUUAAAGGUUAAGUUUAUUUUGGUGCAAAAAAAAAAAAAAAGAAAUGUAUGCCCAGUUUUUUUCAUGAUGCGGAUUUCCAUGAAUUCUUUGAAGACCUAGCAUGCAUGGCCCUGGCAGCACCAACCGCGGCUCUCCACACUGAGCCGCUGCGCUGCCGUGGGCCUGCUCCCUCUCCUGUCAUCCUUCCGGUCUCCAGUGCUGAGUCAGCCCUGGGUGCGAGUUCAGGGCCUCCUGAUUAUCCUUGCACAAACUGUGUUUACGCACAUCCUAGUCAGAGGUGGGGACUGGCAGGCAGGAACAGAAGGCACGGCAGAUGGGGAAGCCAAAGGAGGGACAGGCUUUGGCGAGCCAGGGGUCAGCAGGGGGGGACGUCACAGCCGCCGAGUGGGAGUGCAGCGCAGAGGCGGAGGAAACAGAACACAGGCCUCAGGGGAGGCCACUGCCAGAGAUUUUUAAAGUGGCAGAAUUUUAAAAGCAUGAAUCCCUUCUUCCUCACUAUCAGUGAAGGCAACUAA